GACGAACGCUGGCGGCGUGCUUAACACAUGCAAGUCGAACGGAAAGGCCCUGCUUUUGUGGGGUGCUCGAGUGGCGAACGGGUGAGUAACACGUGAGUAACCUGCCCUUGACUUUGGGAUAACUUCAGGAAACUGGGGCUAAUACCGGAUAGGAGCUCCUGCUGCAUGGUGGGGGUUGGAAAGUUUCGGCGGUUGGGGAUGGACUCGCGGCUUAUCAGCUUGUUGGUGGGGUAGUGGCUUACCAAGGCUUUGACGGGUAGCCGGCCUGAGAGGGUGACCGGCCACAUUGGGACUGAGAUACGGCCCAGACUCCUACGGGAGGCAGCAGUGGGGAAUAUUGCACAAUGGGCGGAAGCCUGAUGCAGCAACGCCGCGUGCGGGAUGACGGCCUUCGGGUUGUAAACCGCUUUCGCCUGUGACGAAGCGUGAGUGACGGUAAUGGGUAAAGAAGCACCGGCUAACUACGUGCCAGCAGCCGCGGUGAUACGUAGGGUGCGAGCGUUGUCCGGAUUUAUUGGGCGUAAAGGGCUCGUAGGUGGUUGAUCGCGUCGGAAGUGUAAUCUUGGGGCUUAACCCUGAGCGUGCUUUCGAUACGGGUUGACUUGAGGAAGGUUUUGGGAGAGUGGAAUUCCUGGUGGAGCGGUGGAAUGCGCAGAUAUCAGGAGGAACACCAGUGGCGAAGGCGGUUCUCUGGGCCUUUCCUGACGCUGAGGAGCGAAAGCGUGGGGAGCGAACAGGCUUAGAUACCCUGGUAGUCCACGCUGUAAACGGUGGGUACUAGGUGUGGGGUCCAUUCCACGGGUUCCGUGCCGUAGCUAACGCUUUAAGUACCCCGCCUGGGGAGUACGGCCGCAAGGCUAAAACUCAAAGGAAUUGACGGGGCCCCGCACAAGCGGCGGAGCAUGCGGAUUAAUUCGAUGCAACGCGUAGAACCUUACCUGGGUUUGACAUGGAUCGGGAGCGCUCAGAGAUGGGUGUGCCUCUUUUGGGGUCGGUUCACAGGUGGUGCAUGGCUGUCGUCAGCUCGUGUCGUGAGAUGUUGGGUUAAGUCCCGCAACGAGCGCAACCCUUGUUCACUGUUGCCAGCACGUUAUGGUGGGGACUCAGUGGAGACCGCCGGGGUCAACUCGGAGGAAGGUGGGGAUGACGUCAAGUCAUCAUGCCCCUUAUGUCCAGGGCUUCACGCAUGCUACAAUGGCUGGUACAGAGAGUGGCGAGCCUGUGAGGGUGAGCGAAUCUCGGAAAGCCGGUCUCAGUUCGGAUUGGGGUCUGCAACUCGACCUCAUGAAGUCGGAGUCGCUAGUAAUCGCAGAUCAGCAACGCUGCGGUGAAUACGUUCCCGGG
This 1344-nucleotide ribosomal RNA is filed under the name uncultured bacterium. RNAcentral describes it as "16S ribosomal RNA". It matches the Rfam family "Bacterial small subunit ribosomal RNA", at positions 28 to 1378 of the family's 1533-position model. The record is from RNAcentral.